This 458-nucleotide ribosomal RNA is filed under the name uncultured Selenomonas sp. Its description in RNAcentral is "partial 16S ribosomal RNA". It matches the Rfam family "Bacterial small subunit ribosomal RNA", at positions 341 to 792 of the family's 1533-position model. Lineage: Bacteria; Bacillati; Bacillota; Negativicutes; Selenomonadales; Selenomonadaceae. The record is from RNAcentral.
ACGGGAGGCAGCAGUGGGGAAUCUUCCGCAAUGGGCGAAAGCCUGACGGAGCAACGCCGCGUGAGUGAAGAAGGUCUUCGGAUCGUAAAGCUCUGUUGAGAGGGACGAGAGAUAACUUCAGGAAAUGGGAGUUAGAGGACGGUACCUUUCGAGGAAGCCACGGCUAACUACGUGCCAGCAGCCGCGGUAAUACGUAGGUGGCGAGCGUUGUCCGGAAUUAUUGGGCGUAAAGGGAGCGCAGGUGGGAAAGUAAGUCAGUCUUAAAAGUGCGGGGCUCAACCCCGUGAUGGGAUUGAAACUACUUUUCUUGAGUGCAGGAGAGGAAAGCGGAAUUCCUAGUGUAGCGGUGAAAUGCGUAGAUAUCAGGAGGAACACCGGUGGCGAAGGCGGUUUACUGGACGAAUACUGACGCUGAGACACGAAAGCGUGGGGAGCAAACAGGAUUAGAUACCCUGGUA